UACGUAGAGUGCAAGCGUUAAUCGGAAUUACUGGGCGUAAAGCGUGCGCAGGCGGCUUUGCAAGUCAGAUGUGAAAUCCCCGGGCUUAACCUGGGAACUGCAUUCGUGACUGCAUGGCUAGAGUGCGGCAGAGGGGGAUGGAAUUCCGCGUGUAGCAGUGAAAUGCGUAGAUAUGCGGAGGAACACCGAUGGCGAAGGCAAUCCCCUGGGCCUGCACUGACGCUCAUGCACGAAAGCGUGGGGAGCAAACAGG
This 253-nucleotide ribosomal RNA is filed under the name uncultured bacterium. RNAcentral describes it as "partial 16S ribosomal RNA". It matches the Rfam family "Bacterial small subunit ribosomal RNA", at positions 524 to 776 of the family's 1533-position model. The record is from RNAcentral.